AGCGAACGCUGGCGGCAGGCUUAACACAUGCAAGUCGAGCGGCCGUAGCAAUACGGCAGCGGCAGACGGGAGAGUAACACGUGGGAACGUACCCUUCAGUACGGAACAACCAAGGGAAACUUUGGCUAAUACCGUAUACGUCCGUAAGGAGAAAGAUUUAUCGCUGAAGGAUCGGCCCGCGUCCAAUUAGCUAGUUGGUGAGGUAACGGCUCACCAAGGCGACGAUCAGUAGCUGGUCUGAGAGGAUGAUCAGCCUCACUGGGACUGAGACACGGCCCAGACUCGUACGGGAGGCAGCAGUGGGGAAUAUUGAAAAAGGGGCGAAAGCCUGAUCCAGCCAUGCCGCGUGGAGGAUGAAGGCCCUAGGGUUGUAAAGUCCUUUUAACGGGGAAGAUAAUGACGGUACCCGUAGAAUAAGCCCCGGCUAACUUCGUGCCAGCCGCCGCGGUAA
This 451-nucleotide ribosomal RNA is filed under the name uncultured bacterium. Its description in RNAcentral is "partial 16S ribosomal RNA". It matches the Rfam family "Bacterial small subunit ribosomal RNA", at positions 29 to 523 of the family's 1533-position model. The record is from RNAcentral.